GUCGAACGGCAGCACAGAGGAGCUUGCUCCUUGGGUGGCGAGUGGCGGACGGCUGUAUGAUACAUCGGAAUCUACUUUUUCGUGGGGGAUAACGUACGCGUACUUACGCUAAUACCGCAUACGACCUACGGGUGAAAGCAGGGGACCUUCGGGCCUUGCGCGAUUGAAUGAGCCGAUGUCGGAUUAGCUAGUUGGCGGGGUAAAGGCCCACCAAGGCGACGAUCCGUAGCUGGUCUGAGAGGAUGAUCAGCCACACUGGGACUGAGACACGGUCCAGACUCCUACGGGAGGCAGCAGUGGGGAAUAUUGGACAAUGGGCGCAAGCCUGAUCCAGCCAUACCGCGUGGGUGAAGAAGGCCUUCGGGUUGUAAAGCCCUUUUGUUGGGAAAGAAAUCCAGCCGGCUAAUACCUGGUUGGGAUGACGGUACCCAAAGAAUAAGCACCGGCUAACUUCGUGCCAGCAGCCGCGGUAAUACGAAGGGUGCAAGCGUUACUCGGAAUUACUGGGCGUAAAGCGUGCGUAGGUGGUUGUUUAAGUCUGUUGUGAAAGCCCUGGGCUCAACCUGGGAACUGCAGUGGAAACUGGACAACUAGAGUGUGGUAGAGGGUAGCGGAAUUCCCGGUGUAGCAGUGAAAUGCGUAGAGAUCGGGAGGAACAUCCAUGGCGAAGGCAGCUACCUGGACCAACACUGACACUGAGGCACGAAAGCGUGGGGAGCAAACAGGAUUAGAUACCCUGGUAGUCCACGCCCUAAACGAUGCGAACUGGAUGUUGGGUGGCAUUUUGGCACGCAGUAUCGAAGCUAACGCCGUUAAUUCGCCGCCUGGGGAGUACGGUCGCCAGACUGAAA
Molecule: ribosomal RNA, 851 nt
Filed under: uncultured bacterium
Lineage: Bacteria
Description: bacterial SSU rRNA
Rfam family: Bacterial small subunit ribosomal RNA
Source: RNAcentral